AGUGAACGCUGGCGGUAGGCCUAACACAUGCAAGUCGAACGGCAGCACAGUAAGAGCUUGCUCUUACGGGUGGCGAGUGGCGGACGGGUGAGGAAUACAUCGGAAUCUACUUUUUCGUGGGGGAUAACGUAGGGAAACUUACGCUAAUACCGCAUACGCCCUACGGGUGAAAGCAGGGGUUCUUCGGACCUUUCGCGAUUGAAUGAGCCGAUGUCGGAUUAGCUAGUUGGCGGGGUAAAGGCCCACCAAGGCGACGAUCCGUAGCUGGUCUGAGAGGAUGAUCAGCCACCAUGGAACUGCGGCGCGGUCCAGACUCCUACGGGAGGCAGCAGUGGGGAAUAUUAGACAAUGGGCGCAAGCCUGAUGCAGCCAUACCGCGUGGGUGAAGAAGGCCUUCGGGUUGUAGAGCCCUUUUGUUGGGAAAGAAAAGCAGCAGGUUAAUACCCCGCUGUUCUGACGGUACCCAAAGAAUAAGCACCGGCUAACUUCGUG
RNAcentral lists this ribosomal RNA (492 nucleotides) under uncultured bacterium. RNAcentral's name for it is "partial 16S ribosomal RNA". It matches the Rfam family "Bacterial small subunit ribosomal RNA", at positions 29 to 507 of the family's 1533-position model. The record is from RNAcentral.